Parelaphostrongylus tenuis is the source of this 73-nucleotide non-coding RNA. The record is from the annotation of a GenBank genome assembly. NCBI's taxonomy places the organism in Eukaryota, Metazoa, Nematoda, Chromadorea, Rhabditida, Metastrongylidae.
GCCUCUGUGGUGUAGUGGUCUAGCACGUGCCCCCGGAUAGGAUGAAGCGCGGGUUCGAUUCCUGUUUGAGGGU